UUGAAAGGGAAACGAUUGAAGUCAUCUACCNCAAAAUCAACCUUUCAUNNNUUUNAUUUUAAAUUCAAAACCUUUAAUUUCAAAAUAUUCCUCUUUUUUUACUUUCUCUNNAAUUAACAUCNUUUUAUCAUCAUAAAAAAUUNAGAAUUACUUCAUCUUUAUUAAUUUAUACCUUUUUAAAUUNUAUUAAAUCANNUUCAACAAUACCCUUUUGCUAUCCCCUAUCUCUAUACUUCCUUUUAUCAAACUCUUAUAUAUUANUAUUACGUCAAAAAUUAAACAAUUACAUUCGUUAAGGAUGUUGACGUA
This 309-nucleotide ribosomal RNA is filed under the name uncultured Glomeromycotina. RNAcentral's name for it is "partial large subunit ribosomal RNA". Lineage: Eukaryota; Fungi; Glomeromycota. The record is from RNAcentral.